RNAcentral lists this ribosomal RNA (4336 nucleotides) under Triticum aestivum (bread wheat). RNAcentral describes it as "partial small subunit ribosomal RNA". The record is from RNAcentral. Lineage: Eukaryota; Viridiplantae; Streptophyta; Magnoliopsida; Poales; Poaceae.
CUAGCCGCCAACCCUUUUCGUGCCCACUCCGCCUCAUUCUCCUCCCCGCUCGCUCCUAUCCUCCCCCAUGCCGCCGCCCCCUUCCCCCCGCUCGCCUCUGCCGCCUCCUCUCCUUCCCCGCACGUCCGGCCUACCCCCUCCUCCCUCCUCCUCCAUCCUCCCUCAUUCGUCAUCACGGCAGACCAUCUCCCGUCACUUGGGCCCCAUGCUGGCGGCCGGGUCGGGGUGGAGGCGCAGCAGGGCUGCAGGGGCCCUACGUGUACUACCUCUACAGCCAGUACGGGUUCGACAAGGGCGACAUCGGCCGCCUCUUCAUCGCCGGCUUUGGCUCCUCCAUGCUCUUCGGCACCAUCGUCGGGUCGCUCGCCGACAAGCAGUGCGUGGGGAAGGAAGAGGGCGUGCAUCACCUACAUCCUCAGCUGCAUCACGAAGCACUCGCCGCAGUACAGGAUUCUGAUGAUAGGCCGUGUGCUUGGAGGCAUUGCAACAUCGCUGCUCUUCUCGGCAUUCGAGUCGUGGCUCGUGGCGGAGCACAACAAGGGAGAGUUGACUGAUGUACAUGAGACCCAGGCGAAAAUGAGUGUGCUAGCGGAGGCUCCAGGGAUGCAGGGUGAUAGGGCCCAGUCUAUGCUCCGGUUGUGUUGUUGGGGAAGCUUCGGACGGGAUUUAGAUAAGGAAAAGGAGUCCCGUGCGAAAUCGAGCGUCCUGGUGUUGGGACUGAUGAUCCGCACUUGUUGUCUAAAUGCAGAACAUGCGCAUUGCAGUGCUUUCUAUCAGUACCGACGACCACAAAUGGGAUGGAUCGAGCAACCAAGACUCAGAGUGUGGUUGACAGUGCGGCCUGCUCCCAACCCUGCAGGUGCCUUACUGUACCAUGCCGUCUCCUGCGUGCCAUGCCCAUCAAACCCAACCAUCAUAUGAACCAUGCCAUGGCUCAGCCGCCUCAAUUUUUAGCGCCAACAACGCUUUUCCCUGACAAGUUUUCUUAGCCAUGGACAGUGAGGUCGCCCUUCUCUGAUUUUCUCCGAUUUCUUCAUUUUCAGUUGUGAUGUUUGGAGCAAGUAUUAAUGGUGAUAAUGAUCUAAAAUAAAAUAGACCAAUGGUAUACACAAAAAGAUACAGUAGGGGCCAAUUGGGUGCCUAGCUUCUUAAACCAAUGAUAUAUAUAGAAUAUUAUUUGAGUAGAAUAGGAGAGAUGCAAUUUGAUGAAUAGUUCAGCAUUUGUAAGAACUUUCCAGCUUACCAAGUGGACUUGACAAGCUCAUGUGUAGGCCUUCAGGUGUCAAAGUUUGUCUGCAAAAUUUAUCUUGUUUUAGUAUGCUCAGAACAACUAAAGAAACACAAUCAUGAUUUUAACAAAAGUUAAUUGGACAUUCUAUUGAAUUUCAUGGUACACCAUCCAUUUUUCGAGGGAGUAGAGGCAUCAUGCCGUGUAACAUUUUAGUUUUUUCUUAGCUACCUGGCGCCUAUAUUUUUGGAAGGUAUAAAUAUCUUUAACUCUCAUGAAUCCUUAUAUUAUUACGGCCAUAUGAUAGACUCGUCCAGAUUAGUUAUUUUAGCUAUGUAUGUGCAGUGUUGGCAAUACAUGGGAGUGUAGUUUUUGUUGCAUGUGUAGUUCUAUGUUUGGCCCUUUGAUCUUGAAAAACAACUGCUUCUUGCCGCUCUUCAAGUUAUGUCUUUUGGGACAAUUUCAAGUGCCUCACUUCCUCUACACAUGGAUCCUGUAGGUAUAUCCUAAUGUAAGUGACACUGUUUUCCUUCUUUAUGUACCUGGACGGGAGUGCUCAUGAGGAUGACGACAUGCUACUGAACUCAAUUUCAGAAAUGGAAUUGGGGCCUGGGGUUUGGAGCCCGCCCCUCAUUAGAAGUGCCCAGGCGGCAUGUCACAGUUUUUUGCUGAGAAUUUACUAAGAACAAUUUUUGCUUGUCUUUAGCAUGAGGCUAUAAGCCCUAUAGCAGUUCCAGUGUGAUGGUCUACCACUUGACUAGGAAGGGGGGAUUGAAAGAUAGCACUUGUCGUUUGGAUCAAUUAGUAUUGGAUAUUUGAGGAAGUAAAUGUUUAAACCACUAAACCUUAUAUUCUUUCGUGAAAAGGUUAUGUGUUUUUAAUCCAUUAGCAGAGUUAGUUUGUCUAAAAUAACUAACUAUUUGGACUAAUAUGGAAUGAUAAAAAUUUCAGAACUAGAUGUAAAAUUUGAUGCGCAUGGCUUUGUUUAACUUGCAGUCUGUAUUUCUAAUAUCUUCUUUGUUGCUGAGGUUGCUUCUAGGUUUUAUUACUGUGGAUCUAAUUUAGAUAAUUUGUAAAUAAUCCUAUGUAGGAGUAUGCUCAUCUAUAACAGUUGGGGAGGGAAAUCGUAUGAAUUACAUAUUUUGUCAAAAAUUGGCAUUACUAUAUGCAUAAAUCUAAAUUAUUGUUCAUAAUGGAUUCACCACUGCUCUACAUAAGCUACAUUUGCUAAUUGCUAUGUAUAUAAGCUGAAUUAGUACCACUACUUCCUGUUUUCUUGCUUGCAAUACCAUGUAUUACCUCUUUACUUUGUUCUCCACAUUUUAAAUUUUGUCUUUCUUUGCAAGUAUAGUGGCCAACUUAUGGUCUGCAUUGUGUAUAACCGAAAUGAUUGUAGUUUCCUAAUACCAUUAUCUAUAACCGAAAUGAGUAGUUUCGUAAUACCAAAGCAUGUGCGCUCACGUAUUUGUCUCUUAGUGUUGCUGAAUGCAUGAAAACCAUGCCCAUGGCCAAAAGCUAAAAAAGUACGAGAAAUUGGGUUUUCAUUUCUCUUAGAAUUGUACAUGUUCAUGUUGUUGUCAUUUUUUCUGAAAUUUAGACAACUCUUUUCGCUUAAUAAUAGUUUACCGAUUUCAGUGCAUCCUAUAUAUAUGUAUGUUUUGACUGAUUGGUCGUCCUCUCAUUCGGACUUACUCAGUGUUGCGUUUGUGUGUUCCUUUAUCAUGCGCUGCUUAUUUUUUGGUUGUGUGAGCGGGUUGUGUGUUGUUGUUUCCAUCCUCAUUUAGUAUGCUGAUGUUUUUAAGAUGACCUCUAUAUUGCUGGAAACUUAAAUUUUAGUUCAUACAUUUGAGCAACUAACUAGAUUAAAAAAUAAUUUCUGUAAGAUUGAGGCCAGUUUAUUUGGUAAGGUAGAAGAAAAAUAAGAUGAAUACGCACAUGUUAUUACUGUACAAAGGCUAAACACUGAAUAACACUGAUGGUUCUUUCCUGAGGUUGAGUAGGAGUGUAUCCCUUUUCUGUAUAAUUAUGUCUUCGAAAUUGCCGAAAGAAUAGCUAGGUUCUAGAACAAACAUGCUAUGAAUAAUUGCAUUACUACUUCAGUGAAAAGUUCCUGGGCAUACUAUGUGUUCCUCUAGACUUGGUUGAAAGUAUUUCUUUUGUUAUCCGAUUUCUCACUAGGUACCUUUGUUGAUGAAUGUGUUCCUCUAGACUUGGUUAUAUAGACUCACAUGAUUACCUGAUGCGGAUUCUACAACUUGGAAAACACAUCUAGAAUAUUCAAGUUGUCUGUGGUGCCCUGGAGAAAGCUUGCUACUCCAAUCAACCACCUUACACGAGAAUCCAGAAUUGAUUUGUCAUUUCAUGUUUGCACUAUUAGAGUUUACCAACAACGCAUCAAGGACAAAGUGUGUCAUGGAUUCCUAAGUUCCAGCUAACAUAGCAAAAUUGUAUAGAGAGAAUACCUGCAUUUUGCUAUUACAUAGUUUGAGGCUAUGUUUCUUGUAAUUUUGAUUAUUAAAAGGAUAUCAUUGCCAAAUUAUCAAGCAUUUAUUUAUUUUCACAUAACUCUUGAUUUGAAAUGGGACCUUGCCCCAUUUGGCGCAAUGAGUAAUGUUAUUAUAUGUCUUAUUGUAGACAAGAAGCCAACAUUCUUAUUGUAAACAGCAAACCUUUGUUCUUUUUUUUGUUAAGAGGGGUUAAAUUUGUUACCAUAUGUGCUUGCCCACAACUGAACUAUGAAUUUUCUUUUCAAUGUACAUAUGGAGCUUGCCCACAACUAAACUAUGAAUUUUCUUUUCAAUGUACAUAUGGAUUCAACGGGUCUCUGUGCCCUUUUUGGCGAUGGCACUCUUGCUCUAAAAAAAGGUUCUGUACCCAGUUUUAUUCCACAGGUUCUGGGAGAUCCUUCGUGUAAAUGAUAGCAUGCAAAAAUGUCAUAUAUUUUGUGAUGGAGGGAGUAUUACUUAUCCAUGUUAAUAUUGUGAAGGAUAAGUUACAUAGGGGAGAAACUUUAUCACCAAAUAAAGGCUUUGAUAUGCAAAUAAUUCUCUGUUCAGAUCAUAUACGCCUAAGUUGAGAAAAAUAAUGGCUUUAAGUUCUUUGUUAAAU